Molecule: transfer RNA, 72 nt
Filed under: Thermogemmatispora tikiterensis
Lineage: Bacteria; Bacillati; Chloroflexota; Ktedonobacteria; Thermogemmatisporales; Thermogemmatisporaceae
Also listed under: 1 other name
Rfam family: tRNA
About the family: Transfer RNA (tRNA) molecules are approximately 80 nucleotides in length. Their secondary structure includes four short double-helical elements and three loops (D, anti-codon, and T loops).
Source: Rfam by way of RNAcentral
GCCGGUGUAGCUCAGUGGUAGAGCAGCGCCCUCGUAAUGCGCAGGCCGUCGGUUCGAGUCCGACCACCGGCU